RNAcentral lists this ribosomal RNA (2145 nucleotides) under Escherichia coli. RNAcentral's name for it is "partial 23S ribosomal RNA". It matches the Rfam family "Bacterial large subunit ribosomal RNA", at positions 1 to 2162 of the family's 2925-position model. The record is from RNAcentral. Lineage: Bacteria; Pseudomonadati; Pseudomonadota; Gammaproteobacteria; Enterobacterales; Enterobacteriaceae.
GGGUUGUGAGGUUAAGCGACUAAGCGUACACGGUGGAUGCCCUGGCAGUCAGAGGCGAUGAAGGACGUGCUAAUCUGCGAUAAGCGUCGGUAAGGUGAUAUGAACCGUUAUAACCGGCGAUUUCCGAAUGGGGAAACCCAGUGUGUUUCGACACACUAUCAUUAACUGAAUCCAUAGGUUAAUGAGGCGAACCGGGGGAACUGAAACAUCUAAGUACCCCGAGGAAAAGAAAUCAACCGAGAUUCCCCCAGUAGCGGCGAGCGAACGGGGAGCAGCCCAGAGCCUGAAUCAGUGUGUGUGUUAGUGGAAGCGUCUGGAAAGGCGCGCGAUACAGGGUGACAGCCCCGUACACAAAAAUGCACAUGCUGUGAGCUCGAUGAGUAGGGCGGGACACGUGGUAUCCUGUCUGAAUAUGGGGGGACCAUCCUCCAAGGCUAAAUACUCCUGACUGACCGAUAGUGAACCAGUACCGUGAGGGAAAGGCGAAAAGAACCCCGGCGAGGGGAGUGAAAAAGAACCUGAAACCGUGUACGUACAAGCAGUGGGAGCACGCUUAGGCGUGUGACUGCGUACCUUUUGUAUAAUGGGUCAGCGACUUAUAUUCUGUAGCAAGGUUAACCGAAUAGGGGAGCCGAAGGGAAACCGAGUCUUAACUGGGCGUUAAGUUGCAGGGUAUAGACCCGAAACCCGGUGAUCUAGCCAUGGGCAGGUUGAAGGUUGGGUAACACUAACUGGAGGACCGAACCGACUAAUGUUGAAAAAUUAGCGGAUGACUUGUGGCUGGGGGUGAAAGGCCAAUCAAACCGGGAGAUAGCUGGUUCUCCCCGAAAGCUAUUUAGGUAGCGCCUCGUGAAUUCAUCUCCGGGGGUAGAGCACUGUUUCGGCAAGGGGGUCAUCCCGACUUACCAACCCGAUGCAAACUGCGAAUACCGGAGAAUGUUAUCACGGGAGACACACGGCGGGUGCUAACGUCCGUCGUGAAGAGGGAAACAACCCAGACCGCCAGCUAAGGUCCCAAAGUCAUGGUUAAGUGGGAAACGAUGUGGGAAGGCCCAGACAGCCAGGAUGUUGGCUUAGAAGCAGCCAUCAUUUAAAGAAAGCGUAAUAGCUCACUGGUCGAGUCGGCCUGCGCGGAAGAUGUAACGGGGCUAAACCAUGCACCGAAGCUGCGGCAGCGACGCUUAUGCGUUGUUGGGUAGGGGAGCGUUCUGUAAGCCUGCGAAGGUGUGCUGUGAGGCAUGCUGGAGGUAUCAGAAGUGCGAAUGCUGACAUAAGUAACGAUAAAGCGGGUGAAAAGCCCGCUCGCCGGAAGACCAAGGGUUCCUGUCCAACGUUAAUCGGGGCAGGGUGAGUCGACCCCUAAGGCGAGGCCGAAAGGCGUAGUCGAUGGGAAACAGGUUAAUAUUCCUGUACUUGGUGUUACUGCGAAGGGGGGACGGAGAAGGCUAUGUUGGCCGGGCGACGGUUGUCCCGGUUUAAGCGUGUAGGCUGGUUUUCCAGGCAAAUCCGGAAAAUCAAGGCUGAGGCGUGAUGACGAGGCACUACGGUGCUGAAGCAACAAAUGCCCUGCUUCCAGGAAAAGCCUCUAAGCAUCAGGUAACAUCAAAUCGUACCCCAAACCGACACAGGUGGUCAGGUAGAGAAUACCAAGGCGCUUGAGAGAACUCGGGUGAAGGAACUAGGCAAAAUGGUGCCGUAACUUCGGGAGAAGGCACGCUGAUAUGUAGGUGAAGCGACUUGCUCGUGGAGCUGAAAUCAGUCGAAGAUACCAGCUGGCUGCAACUGUUUAUUAAAAACACAGCACUGUGCAAACACGAAAGUGGACGUAUACGGUGUGACGCCUGCCCGGUGCCGGAAGGUUAAUUGAUGGGGUCAGCGCAAGCGAAGCUCUUGAUCGAAGCCCCGGUAAACGGCGGCCGUAACUAUAACGGUCCUAAGGUAGCGAAAUUCCUUGUCGGGUAAGUUCCGACCUGCACGAAUGGCGUAAUGAUGGCCAGGCUGUCUCCACCCGAGACUCAGUGAAAUUGAACUCGCUGUGAAGAUGCAGUGUACCCGCGGCAAGACGGAAAGACCCCGUGAACCUUUACUAUAGCUUGACACUGAACAUUGAGCCUUGAUGUGUAGGAUAGGUGGGAGGCUUUGAAG